CUACGAAGGGGGCUAGCGUUGUUGGGAAUUACUGGGCGUAAAGCGCGCGUAGGCGGACUGAUCAGUUGGGGGUGAAAUCCCAGGGCUUAACCCUGGAACUGCCUCCAAUACUGUCAGUCUUGAGUUCGGGAGAGGUGAGUGGAAUUCCUAGUGUAGAGGUGAAAUUCGUAGAUAUUAGGAAGAACACCAGUGGCGAAGGCGGCUCACUGGCCCGAUACUGACGCUGAGGCGCGAAAGCGUGGGGAGCAAACAGGAUUAGAAACCCCAGUAGUCC
RNAcentral lists this ribosomal RNA (274 nucleotides) under uncultured bacterium. RNAcentral's name for it is "partial 16S ribosomal RNA". It matches the Rfam family "Bacterial small subunit ribosomal RNA", at positions 523 to 796 of the family's 1533-position model. The record is from RNAcentral.